ACUAUGGAGAGUUUGAUCCUGGCUCAGGAUGAACGCUAGCGGCAGGCCUAAUACAUGCAAGCCGGACGGCAAGUUGAGUAGCAAUACUUGACCUAGAGUGGCGUAAGGGUGCGUAACACGUAUGCAAUCUGCCCACAGCCGGGGUAUAGCCCUCCGAAAGGAGGAUUAACACCCCAUAGGAAGAUGAGAUGGCAUCAUUUUAUUUUUAAACCACGGGGCUGUGGAUGAGCAUGCGCUUGAUUAGCUAGUUGGCGGGGUAAUGGCCCACCAAGGCGAUGAUCAAUAGGGGACCUGAGAGGGUGAUCCCCCACACUGGCACUGAGAUACGGGCCAGACUCCUACGGGAGGCAGCAGUAGGGAAUAUUGGGCAAUGGACGCAAGUCUGACCCAGCCAUGCCGCG
This 401-nucleotide ribosomal RNA is filed under the name Cyclobacteriaceae bacterium. RNAcentral describes it as "bacterial SSU rRNA". It matches the Rfam family "Bacterial small subunit ribosomal RNA", at positions 1 to 401 of the family's 1533-position model. Lineage: Bacteria; Pseudomonadati; Bacteroidota; Cytophagia; Cytophagales; Cyclobacteriaceae. The record is from RNAcentral.